GCCAGACCGCGGGGAUGGGCCGGCGGCGGCCCGGGGACACCGCUGCCUGCGGGGACACCGUGGGCGGGGAGGGACAGGGCCCCGCGAAGGGCGCAGCAACAGCAGAGCGACGGUGGGGAGAGUCGCGAAAGGGGCCUCGCGUUCCCGGCCGCGGCGGCGAGAGCCGCCUACUUCUUCGCCUGCCCCCCCGAGGGGCGCGGGAAUCCGGGACAGGGAGCGGCUCAAUCCCCUCUCAGCCCCUGCGCCUCGGAGGGGGAGAGGCGCGUGGUCCCCGCCCCGUCCGGUCCCAGCGGCCAGGCCCCGGUCGCGCCCAGGUGCCUCGCGGGUGCGGAGCCGUGGCUGAUCCGUUCCGUGGCGGCAGGAGGCGAGAAGCUGCCCCGCUCUACCGGCAGCGGAGCGCUGUCCCGGGCCGCCCUUCCGCCCGCUCGUAAACAACCGGAGGUGCUGCGGCUCGCCCGCGUACCUCGGCACCCGAAAUCACCCCCAGGCCCGCCCGCGGUCUUCGCCGCGCACGGGCAAGAAGCGCCCGCAGCUGCCGUCGCUGUGCAGAGCCGGUGGCGUGCCUCGGGAGGGGAGCGGGGCGGGCAGCCGAGGCCCUGCCGGCGCCCGGUGCGCUGGUGCGGCGCGGCCCGGGAAAGGCGGCGGCCGCGGCGGAGGUGUGGUUGCGGCGGAGCUGCCGCGCUGGGCCCGGCGGCGGGGACAGGAGCCCGGCGCUGUCCGGCGGCGCCCCGCGGGCUAUGCUGGGGGAGCUGCGUGCCCCGGGCCGGGACACGGGAGCGAGCGGAGCGAAAACAAAAUGAGCGUGGUUAUCGGCAUCCGCAGGCGGAAGCGCCCGGGCGAAAAGCCGGCAGGGGAACGGGAGGCCUUUGGCUUCACCAAGGCAGCUCCUCGGUACACGCCAAUGUCAGGAUCCGCUGCUGCCGGGCCAGCCCUGCCCCGCAUGCAGGAGCUGCGUUUUCCCGCUGCCCGAAACGCCCGGAGCUGUGCGACUGAGAGCGCAAAGCCGUUUACUCGGCCGGUGCGCGGUGCUGAGCUGAGCAAGGCUUGGGUUGCACGUACUGAUGCCAGCGGUGGGAGAAACUUAAUAUAGCCUAUUGCAGAGAGUGCCAAGGUAUGGUUUCUGCAGAUUCUCGAGUCUCAGACGGUCAUCCGCUUCAGCAGAAAGAGCCUGUUAUCGUGUCAACGGAAGAGGUGCAAAACUCCGCAUUGGCAAAGCAAAGGACAAGUUGCUACCAGUAACACAAGAAACUGUUGUGUGCAGCUCUGUCAGCGGCCGCGUACCUUUUUGGCGUGUUUUAAAGGCGCCGUAAUUCACCGUUGUUCACUCCAGCCUAAACUCCUACUGGCAGCAAAGGUUUCCUACUACUAGCAGAGGCCCAUUCUUAAUAGAAUCAGUAUAGCUGCGUAAAAUGAUGCUGAAAAACAAAGCAUUUCCAUAUUUGUCUAAAAGAAAGCAUUUCCUAUAUUUGUUAUUAAAAAUAACGUUAUUUUUAUCAUAUCAGACCAGCUGACUGUAUUCUGGUCCAUUCAGAGCUUAAACUAAAUUGUAAGUGAUUAUUUUUCAAGAGCUACAGAUGUUUUAAUUAGCCCCACUAGUUUGCAAGGCAUUGGUCUAUUUUUCAGUGAAAUGUACUGAUUGUGAUAAAAUGCUAUCAAUACAGCAUACGUUAAGUGGAUUGGGGCCAUUCGGCUGAUUAUCCCAAGAAAUGGACAAUAAAGAGCAGCCAUCUACUGGGCAUCGGUAUUUGAUCUGAUACUCUGCUACAUUUUUUAAUAGAUUUGGAAAGUAAAUGACCAGCUGAUCUCAUUAAAGGCACCAUGCUCUGGUAUAAACAAACCCAAUGCCCGUGUUUGAGUCCAACCAAAAACAUUGUCUGUUCCUGUGUUUUGGAAAGCAGUAAGUCAAGAAAGCACCCUCAAGGUCAUAUUAGACAAGCACUCAAACUAUCAAUGCUCCGGCAAAUGGGCAAUGCUCUGGGUGUAGCAAAGCACCAAGCAAGUUUUGUGCUGUUUCCUCACAAAUGCAGGUUCUUCCCUCAGCCUCAACCCUCCCGUGUCAGUUUGCCGAAGCACCUGCAGGGGUCAGAGUACUUUUGAUUCACCAGAAGUUUCCACCAGAAAAACCCCACUGUGAUUUGGAUGAGAGCAGUUUGUAAAAACAGACCGUUUCCUACGAACUUGAAACACAGCCUUUUGGUCAUGUCUUAUUGACGAGGCGCAUGAAGGGUUUUUACCGUCUAUGUAUAGUGUUGCUGAGAUUGCAUUUUGAAUGAGGCAUACAGUUCCUGCGGCUGUAUUUUUAAAACGCUGUUCACAAACCUGAAAUUGUGUGGAGAGGAAUUACAAAAGUGAUUUCAGUGCUAGAGAGGACGCUGCACAAUACAAUACAGUACAUGAUCAGAGACUUGAGUUCAAUCAGCUGAUUAUAAAAAGAUGAAAAGUGAACCAAUUACAGUGUAUUAAUCCUUUCAUGUGGAAAAAUGAACUGGUCUAUGAAAAAUAUGUGGGUAUUUUUCCAGGACUUGUGAACAUAGCCAGCGUGGAAAUCCCAGACAUGUUGGAUUGCAUGCACAGGCGGUUCAAUAUUUCCCAGACAUGCCAGACCUACCCGUCAUGUACUGUACUGAUGUGCAGUAUACUCAAUGCACAAAGAAUUCAUUGGACCUACUGUGCCUGUUUGCUUGUGUGGGAACGAACAAAGAAGUGCUAGAAGCAGUACAAAAACAGAUGAAGAGGAAAGCUAUGGACAGCUUAGAUAAGAAUGUGGUAGGGCCCUGAGAAAAAGAGAGAAAACUUUUGAGCUGACUGCCAAAUGAGAGGGGCUUCAGCGGUGAACAGGAUUAGCGCCCUGCUUCGUACACUGUUUACCCAGGGAUAGCUGCAUUGAAGGGAGCAAAAUAUGGAAAUAUGGAACGAAAAUUUAGGGUUCUUGUCUCCUUAUGCCUUGUGCUUUCAGUACAAGUCACGAAUUGCUUGUGCAUUUGCUUGUGUUUCCCUUUUCUGGCCCCAGGAAUCUAAAUACUUCAAUGCACAGUGGCAUGAAUUCAAUAGGAAAGGUAGGGAAUGCUCCUGCCCCAAACCUGAGAAGUAUUCAUAGGGACAAUGAGGUACUCCUUGGAAGUCAGUAAAUCUGAUAUGUGAUGACUUUACAGUGAAGGUGAAUAUCCCUGCCUUCCCCAGCAAGAAGUAGUAAAGGAUAUUUACAGAGAAAUUCACUCUACCCCUGCUUCUUGCCGUCUCUUGAUUUAUUAGGGGGUCUACUGAUCCAAAUAGCUUAGGAAUAAGAAGAUUCAGCUACUGAAGUGAAAUCCAGCUCUUAAUUUCCCCUAGAAAUAGGUUAGUAAAUACUGCUAAAUACAACUGUGGGAGGAAGAAAAGCAUUCUGAUAAACAGGCUGUAGCAGCUGAAAUUUCCUGGGCUUGUUUCCCUGUAAUGUUAGUGUUGUAUCAAAGCCACAUUUAGGCUGGAUGGAGUUGCAGCAGUAAUGAAGUGGAACUGUACAGCUUUCCUGGUCAUCAUGUAAUGUGGAGCUUCUGCAAAAAAGCUCAACCACACAGUGCUAUGAGAAAACUACUACACCCUUCACUAAUUCCUCAGUCCUCUACUCAUUCCCCUUCCUACUCGUAAAUCCCCCCAUGUGAAAAAUAGGUGAUCAGCAUAAAUCUCCUGAUAAGUCUAUAUUCACCAUAAUGAUAACUGAAAUACAAAUUUCAUUUCAUGGUAUAGGUGAACCUAACAUGCUACCACCCCACCCCUGAAACACUAAGUACAAUAUCAAAAUAUCUUCAUUUCAAUUCAAAAGAUUAUUUCUCAGCUGUGCUGAUAUAUACUGGUAUCUCCAUAUGCAUCUGAAUUUUGGGAACAUUGGUAUUUUAAUACCAAAGUUGUACUUUUUUUCUGUUCUAAUGUUUUGUUUCUUUUCUGUGCCUCAUUGUGUGUUUGUUGCACAUUAAAUUCCUUUUUUAUUCUUUAGUCUGUUAAGAUUGUUUGUAUCAUCUCCUUUAUAGCAGUCUCUUGACAUAAACUUGUAAACGGGUUGUACACAUGAGCAAUCUCUACUCCCAGAAAAAAAGGAUCAAGAUGAAACCUGCCACUAAUGCAAGCAAUGCUGAAUCAGUCUAAACCACAUGGGAAUAAUUUCUCUCUUCUUCAGGGAUACCAUGGACUUACUACAUUAGUCGCUGCAUGGUGUUUCAAAAUCCUUAAAUGGAAAAUGGUGGGAAAUUGAGAAAGCGAAUAUUGGAACUCAUUUUAAUAGAAACAAUCUUUUUAAGAAUUGUUUUGGACAAGUUCAUAAUAAAUAAAUAUCCCAUCA
Molecule: long non-coding RNA, 4315 nt
Organism: Strigops habroptila (Kakapo)
Lineage: Eukaryota; Metazoa; Chordata; Aves; Psittaciformes; Psittacidae
Source: Ensembl